Molecule: ribosomal RNA, 425 nt
Filed under: uncultured bacterium
Lineage: Bacteria
Description: bacterial SSU rRNA
Rfam family: Bacterial small subunit ribosomal RNA
Source: RNAcentral
UAAAACCCUGUUGUUAGAGAAGAAAGUGCGUGAGAGUAACUGUUCACGUUUCGACGGUAUCUAACCAGAAAGCCACGGCUAACUACGUGCCAGCAGCCGCGGUAAUACGUAGGUGGCAAGCGUUAUCCGGAUUUAUUGGGCGUAAAGGGAACGCAGGCGGUCUUUUAAGUCUGAUGUGAAAGCCUUCGGCUUAACCGGAGUAGUGCAUUGGAAACUGGGAGACUUGAGUGCAGAAGAGGAGAGUGGAACUCCAUGUGUAGCGGUGAAAUGCGUAGAUAUAUGGAAGAACACCAGUGGCGAAAGCGGCUCUCUGGUCUGUAACUGACGCUGAGGUUCGAAAGCGUGGGUAGCAAACAGGAUUAGAUACCCUGGUAGUCCACGCCGUAAACGAUGAAUGCUAAGUGUUGGAGGGUUUCCGCCCUUCA